Molecule: ribosomal RNA, 254 nt
Filed under: uncultured bacterium
Lineage: Bacteria
Description: partial 16S ribosomal RNA
Rfam family: Bacterial small subunit ribosomal RNA
Source: RNAcentral
CACGUAGGCACCAAGCGUUGUCCGGAUUUAUUGGGCGUAAAGAGCUCGUAGGCGGUUCGGUUAGUCGGGUGUGAAAACUUUGGGCUCAACCCAAAGCGUGCACUCGAUACUGCCGUGACUAGAGUUCGGUAGGGGAGUGGGGAAUUCCUAGUGUAGCGGUGAAAUGCGCAGAUAUUAGGAGGAACACCGGUGGCGAAGGCGGGUCUCUGGGCAACAACUGACGCUGAGGAGCGAAAGCGUGGGGAGCGAACAGG